This 807-nucleotide ribosomal RNA is filed under the name uncultured Bacteroidota bacterium. RNAcentral's name for it is "bacterial SSU rRNA". It matches the Rfam family "Bacterial small subunit ribosomal RNA", at positions 56 to 860 of the family's 1533-position model. Lineage: Bacteria; Pseudomonadati; Bacteroidota. The record is from RNAcentral.
UGCAGUCGAGGGGCAUCACAGUAUAGCAAUAUAUGGGUGGCGACCGGCAAACGGGUGCGUAACACGUACGCAACUUACCCUUUACUGGGAGAUAGCCCAGGGAAACUUGGAUUAAUAUCCCAUAUUGCAGGGGAUCGGCAUCGAUCUUCUGCCAAAGUUCCGACGGUAAAGGAUGGGCGUGCGGUUGAUUAGGUAGUUGGCGGGGUAACGGCCCACCAAGCCUACGAUCAAUAGCUGAUGUGAGAGCAUGAUCAGCCACACGGGCACUGAGACACGGGCCCGACUCCUACGGGAGGCAGCAGUAAGGAAUAUUGGGCAAUGGACGCAAGUCUGACCCAGCCAUGCCGCGUGAAGGAUGAAGGCCCUCUGGGUUGUAAACUUCUUUUAUCUGGGGCGAAAGGCGGUUAUUCUUAGCCGUUUGACAGUACCAGAGGAAUAAGCACCGGCUAACUCCGUGCCAGCAGCCGCGGUAAUACGGAGGGUGCAAGCGUUAUCCGGAUUCACUGGGUUUAAAGGGUGCGUAGGUGGAUCUGUAAGUCAGAGGUGAAAUCCCCGAGCUUAACUUGGGAACUGCCUUUGAUACUAUAGAUCUUGAAUAUCGUGGAGGUAAGCGGAAUAUGUCAUGUAGCGGUGAAAUGCAUAGAGAUGACAUAGAACACCAAUUGCGAAGGCAGCUUGCUACACGAUGAUUGACACUGAGGCACGAAAGCGUGGGGAUCAAACAGGAUUAGAUACCCUGGUAGUCCACGCCCUAAACUAUGGAUACUCGACAUCGGCGAUACACAGUUGGUGUCUGAGCGAAAGCAU